CGUUAAGAGAAUGUCACUGUCAUUACCCUUUUAAAAGGAUAUGGGAAUACAUUUGUAAA
The submitters of this non-coding RNA (59 nucleotides) gave its source as unclassified sequences. The record is from Rfam.